CCUACGGGGGGCAGCAGUGGGGAAUAUUGGACAAUGGGCGCAAGCCUGAUCCAGCCAUGCCGCGUGAGUGAUGACGGUCUUAGGAUUGUAAAGCUCUUUCACCGGUGAAGAUAAUGACGGUAACCGGAGAAGAAGCCCCGGCUAACUUCGUGCCAGCAGCCGCGGUAAUACGAAGGGGGCUAGCGUUGUUCGGAUUUACUGGGCGUAAAGCGCACGUAGGCGGACUUUUAAGUCAGGGGUGAAAUCCCAGAGCUCAACUCUGGAACUGCCUUUGAUACUGGAAGUCUUGAGUAUGGUAGAGGUGAGUGGAAUUCCGAGUGUAGAGGUGAAAUUCGUAGAUAUUCGGAGGAACACCAGUGGCGAAGGCGGCUCACUGGACCAUUACUGACGCUGAGGUGCGAAAGCGUGGGGAGCAAACAGGAUUAGAUACCC
This 432-nucleotide ribosomal RNA is filed under the name uncultured bacterium. RNAcentral describes it as "bacterial SSU rRNA". It matches the Rfam family "Bacterial small subunit ribosomal RNA", at positions 338 to 787 of the family's 1533-position model. The record is from RNAcentral.